RNAcentral lists this unclassified non-coding RNA (342 nucleotides) under soil metagenome. RNAcentral's name for it is "partial contains 5.8S ribosomal RNA, internal transcribed spacer 2, and large subunit ribosomal RNA". The stretch from base 1 to 120 matches the Rfam family "5.8S ribosomal RNA", at positions 35 to 154 of the family's 154-position model. The record is from RNAcentral.
GAUGAAGAACGCAGCGAAAUGCGAUAAGUAAUGUGAAUUGCAGAAUCCAGUGAAUCAUCGAAUCUUUGAACGCACAUUGCGCCCGCCAGCAUUCUGGCGGGCAUGCCUGUUCGAGCGUCAUUUCAACCCUCGACCUCCCUUUGGGGAAGUCGGCGUUGGGGACCGGCAGCACACCGCCGGCCCUGAAAUGGAGUGGCGGCCCGUCCGCGGCGACCUCUGCGUAGUAAUCCAACUCGCACCGGAACCCCGACGCGGCCACGCCGUAAACACCCAACUUCUGAACGUUGACCUCGAAUCAGGUAGGACUACCCGCUGAACUUAAGCAUAUCAAUAAGCGGAGGA